UAGUACUUCUCCAUGCCAAGUCCAAACGGUAUACGAUCUCGUUAUGCCGAACAUGAAUAGAUGAUCAUGCAAAUUGCCCAAGUCUUGUCGUAUUUGAUUAGCAUAACGAACACAAGGACAAAAAUAUGUGCCGUUCACAGACUUUGCAUUUUCUUUAACAUAUUGCAAGAACACCGAAACACCCUUCUCAUAUUCUUCAGAGAUGCGACGUGCAUU
Molecule: long non-coding RNA, 216 nt
Filed under: Vigna radiata
Lineage: Eukaryota; Viridiplantae; Streptophyta; Magnoliopsida; Fabales; Fabaceae
Description: long non-coding RNA (VRAD_LNC016964)
Source: RNAcentral